UUCGUUUUGUAAAAACAAGAAAUGAAUAGCUGAAAGGUUUUGUUUUUUGUCCCACGCUGCCAUUGUGACGAUCUGUUCCUAGCCAGAAUCAAUCAGACAUGCAAUGGGAUUUCAUGAACCAGCCUCAGGAACACACCUGGGGUCUGUGAAGACUGUCGCUGGGGCUGAUUCAAUUUGGACCUGUGCCUCCAAACAGUGUCACGUCUCGUAGCAGAUGCCAUAUCACAAAAGAUUAAUUAACAGCAUACGGACAAGCGUGUGCGUCGCAUGCAUUGAGACUUCAAUAUGUCUUCAUUUGCCUUGGGAUGCCAUGGGGCGAACUCCAUUAGCUUGCUGUGGGUAUUCAUUCAUUUUUCCUCCAAUUAAAAAAGGUUCAAGUCCUAAUUUCCAAAUAUCACAUAACAGGAAAAAGGAUAAACACUGUGGCAAUAGUGUUAACACCCCAUUAAAAGGCUUCACCCCACUACAUCAUCCAUGACUUCAUAAGGUCUUUGCAGUACAAAUCCUUUGUGCCAUGCUAGUCUGGACACAGUGGCGAUAACCUGUAUUCUGUUUUACAAAAGGUCCCUUAACAUUAAUAUGGCACUAACCCUAAUGUCCAAUCAUUUGCACAUUCAACCUAGUCCUACAUACAGAAGCAGCAUUUAUUAUAUAUAUAUAUAUUUUUUUUUUUUUUUAAUGCAGCAUUUCCACUCAGUGUCUUGUCUAGAAACUUUAGCAUACUCCAUAUGAAAAGCCAGUAUGGCUGAAAGGAUGCCUGCAUUCCAGAAAUACAGAGAGAUGCACGUUCUUUGCAUCUAUAAAGCAGAGUAAUGUUGUUAUGACCCCUAUGUUAAACAUGCACAUGUGUGCAUUUCUCUUUUCCUGUUAAAGCUAUAAGCCCUUCCCUGCAGCAGUGUCAAGCGCAGACAUUUAAUGUUUAAAGUAGGUUGGUAAUUUAAUUCACUUUUUUUAGUCUGAAGUAAGGGUUUUAAAACGUGAAGGGAAUUCUAAAGAAAUAUGUUUCUACAUUUGCAUUGCAUUCUGCAUCAGCUAAUAAAGAGUUUAAUUGAAUUCCGGGGAUCAGCUUAAUUCAAGGCACAUGACACUAAAAAAAGAGCCUGUAGCUAUAACAGGAAAACAGCUUAUCUGCUCGUUAUCUAUCUUUAAACCUGUAAAAUAAUUAACUGAAUAAAUUUAACAGAUGUUUACGAGUAUAUGCACACACUGUUGUUCCCAAAGAAGGACAAUUUCGCUUUCUCUUCUGACCUGCAGAAAACCAUUUAAAAAGGGCCUCUCUCUGGUCUAAGCAGCUCAGACGAACAGGUAAGCAGCGGUGAGUUUUUUUCUUCAGAAGAUGAAUUGGUAAGCUGUCUGCUAGAGACAGGCCAAGUAGUUGUGUUUCUGUAAUGGGACACUGGAAGUGUCUUUGAUUAAUGGAAUAGCGAUACUGAGCUGUUAGUGAACCUUAUGGCAGGAAGAGCGAUUGAUGAACGGAUACUUGCAGACAGAUCUGAGAGCCUUAGCAGAAGGGGUACAGAUUUGAGGGGUUUUUAGCUUGCUGGGGAGUACCCCAACAACAGUAGGUCACAAAUGUUCAUUUCGGACAUUAUACAAAACUACGGUAAGGUCACCUUACACUAAAAAAAAACAAACGGUCUUAUAAGACUCAUUUGAGAAUGUGUUUAGCCCCUCAGUAAAAUAACACAACAUUAUGAAACCUCUCCAUUAAAUAAAUACAGCUGCAUUACAAACAUACGAAACCACAACCCAUGCCGUUUGUAUUAUACAGAAAGUAUGCUACACAAAAAAAUUAAAUGGUAUGCAAAUCUUAUUUAGUCUGACAACAGCAACGUCAUCAGUGACCAUACAGAUUUGUACAACUGAUUUUCAGAGUGUAUGGCGUUACUAAUGGCAACAACUGCUGUAUUCCAUGUGCCAAGGCACAAUGUGAGGGAUUCCAAACAAUACAAGAAUACAAAACAGAUAUACCACCUUAACUAUGGCAUUAAGACAAGGCAAUAAGCCAGCGCUAUUACUCUGCAUUUGCAUUCCACCUUCAUUACCAUUGUGUCCUUGGAACUCAAGCAUUUUAUGGAAGCCUUAAAUGCAGAUAAAAAUCAAAUCCUGCAUAAUGAAGGUUUUAAUGCAGAAUAGAAAAAAACGCAGAAAAUGUAUGUCUGUCCAAGAAGUGAAAGGAUUUACAAGAAGGGCUGAAAGAUUUGGAGGUUAACCCAAUGAACUCCAGGACCAACAACUGAAGCGCCGCAUCUUCACUACAGCGAGAGAAAAAAUACCAACUAAAAUCGUAAUGCAGAGGCGGGCACAAACAGACUUUGUACGCAGGAGCCAAACACUGUAUUGACCAUUGAUCAGUUUGUAUAAGAGAGCUUUCAGUUUCUGGCUUUUUAAUGGAAUUGUGGUGCAAACCUAUUUAAAAUUUAAACCGUGAAAGGAAGUUUUUUUAUUUUAUUUUUCGUUUCUCUAUCCAUUUUGGUCCUUCUCUCAUUUAAAAGGUUUUGCUUGGCUGCCAUCCCUAACCUCAAAAACAUUCUGUACAGAACGAAAUAAGCCUAUUCAUUCAAAAAACAUUCUGGAAAAGUUUUUGUUUACCCAGCGCUAAAAAGAAACCUAACAAUACUAAGGUUAGUGAGUGGAAGAACACUGUGUUAAGCUGUUAGGCAGCCAAGUCCUGGGUUUGCUGUUUGGAAGAGCUUUCCGAUAAAGCAGAGAUUAAAACUUGUCAACACCACCCCGUUCAAACAGGAGUUAUAAUAUUGUCCUUGUUGGUAUUUUUAGCAAGUAUUGUAUAGGCCAAUCCACAAAUGGCCUGUACAGUACACUGUGUAGGGUGUCAGUGAGUUUCUCAGUGCCAGCAAAACAGUUGUUUACAAGAUCUCGUUAAAAAAAAACAUUUUAAAUGAUCUUGAUAUUUGAUAGACCAUUAGUGACUUAUAAAAUGUGCCAAUGUUUUUUUUUUUUCUGAAAGGACUCUGAAAACGAAGCAAAGCAAUGUCAUUUGGUGUUAUUUAUUACAGAGAAAAGUGAAUAACCCAGCUAAUUAAUUACUGCAUGUGUGUGUGACAAAUACACACACAUAUAUAUAUAAAUUGAUUUCUAUUUAUUUAUUUUUGCAUUGCUGCAUCUCGAGUUGAUUAUUCCAGAGGCACGGAAGAGAGGAUGUUUAUGUUAGGCUCAUUUCCAGGCUCUAACCCCUCCUAAGGGAAUGAGUUCCUGACCCACAGUGACGGCAAAAGGUAUGUGAACCAUCUGGACAAAGCUAGUGACCACAAAGCCCCCUAUACACGGAGCGGACUGUGAGCGCCGCUUUCCUCACACAACGCUUUCAUUCAAUACCCCAUGCUUUGAUAGCCAUCUACUUGUAGGGGUCACUGAUAAUUUUCAACUCCCUCCUUUGUCAAUGUGAAUGAUUAUACCUUGCAUCUCCUCUGCCCUGAAGCUCACUUCAGGAGAGGUAAGUGAUCCCUUUGCCCUGUAGAAUAAUGCACCAUGUAGGAAUAAAAAUGUUUCUCCUAUGAAGAAGCUGUUAAUAAUAUUGCAAUAACCUUUUGCCUGAAAAAACUAUAUAGAAGGAUUCAAGUAUGAGGAUCAAGUAACUUUCCUCCAAACGCUUUUUUUUUUUUUUUAAGAAAGCAUGUAUGUUUUCUCAUCUGUAUGACACUAUCUGUUAAACAAUUAAAAAGCAUGUAAAUCAUUUUAAGGUAUUUUCAAGGACUGUUUAAGAAAGUUUAAAAUCAAUUCUCACAGUAAACCUUGCACUCCAAACUGAGAAAAGAUUUCAUGAACUGCAAACAUGAUUUACAAUCUCUAAAAAUAAAAUUAAAAGCACGUAAAAACAUUCCUCAAAACAGGGUUCAUAGUUUAUACUGUCUUUUAAAUACAGUUUCAAUGGCACUUAACACCCAAGAAAAGUAGCAGACUAAAGACCUUACUCACAGAAUUAAACAGGCCUUCUUUAUUUGUUAUAGAAAUCUAUUCGGAUUAAUAAAAUAGGGUUUCUUGUUAUGCCUCCCUUUUCAGACUGUUUAAACAGCAAAUCGGAGCUUUUUCUUGUUGACGCACCAAAUUUACUACACAAACUGCAGAGUGUCAGAUAAUAAAUGUAUAAAUAAAUCUGCUUCCUUUACAAAUACCCAAUGUGUUCUGACGAAACUGCCCCAUUUGAAAUUGCCUAUUAAAAAUCAGGUUAAUGAUCACACUUGUAGUCUGGCGAACUGGUAAGAAUCGUAUUGAUUUGUCAUAGUUUAAAGUAUUUGAAUAUUUGAAUAGCAAUUCACAAAUGAAGGGUGCUCCCCUUCACAUGGAACAUGCAAGAGUCCGCUCCCAAGCCACUGCUCUGUGUUUCUCUACAGCAGGAGGUGCAGCAGUGUGUACUGGAACAUGCAAGAGCCCGUUCCCAAGCCACUGCUCUGUGUUUCUCUAUAGCAGGAGGUGCAGCAGUGUGUACUGGAACAUGCAAGAGCCCGUUCCCAAGCCACUGCUCUGUGUUUCUCUAUAGCAGGAGGUGCAGCAGUGUGUACUGGAACAUGCAAGAGCCCGUUCCCAAGCCACUGCUCUGUGUUUCUCUAUAGCAGGAGGUGCAGCAGUGUGUACUGGAACAUGCAAGAGCCCGUUCCCAAGCCACUGCUCUGUGUUUCUCUACAGCAGGAGGUGCAGCAGUGUGUACUGGAACAUGCAAGAGCCCGUUCCCAAGCCACUGCUCUGUGUUUCUCUACAGCAGGAGGUGCAGCAGUGUGUACUGGAACAUGCAAGUCCUGAAGCGCUCCACAGGGGAUAGGAGGACUGAACAAGUUUCACCUGAUAAUCAACACUGACACUCCAUUUGAAAAUCAGGAGAUUCUAACUCAUUAAAAUCCAUGAACAUUUCACAGAUACAACUGUCAAGUGCAUUUUGUCCCCAUUCCCACCCCCACUAAGUUAACAGUAUUUUACAUCUCCCGGUUCAGAUGAGUCACACAGCAGAUCACACCGCCUGUAGCCCAGUAAUGCUGCUAUACUCUCUGCUCUGUGUGUGUGUGUGUGUGCGCGUGU
This is a long non-coding RNA of Polyodon spathula (Mississippi paddlefish), 5031 nucleotides long. RefSeq lists it as uncharacterized. Lineage: Eukaryota; Metazoa; Chordata; Actinopteri; Acipenseriformes; Polyodontidae. The transcript has 3 exons. The record is from RefSeq and is a predicted model, not a curated record.